UUCACAAACAACCCGCCUUUUAUUUCUUUAAAAUAUUGUUGUUUAGAAAGUUAAAGGUUUAACCUCAAACUUUCAUCAUUCAUAUAUACUAUGUGUAACACCUAUGUAUUACAUGGGUUAAUUAAAAAAGUUAAAAUUGAUUUUUUUUUCUCUUUUAAAUAUAAAUAAAUAAACUAAUGAGCUUUCAUUUGGAAAUUUUAAAAUAAAAAGGUAAGUUUAUUAAUGAAUUUGAUAUUCAUUUAUUAUUAUAUUUAUUAUAAUUAUUAUAUUAAAGUAUUAUGUGAAAUUUAUUUCAAUAGAAAAAAAAAUCCAUAAAAUGACAUGUGAAAAAAAUUAAAUCAAAAUAACCACAAAUUGACAUUUGGCAAAUUGAAUGAGAGUGUGACAUGUGACAAAAAAAUCUUCAUUUAUUAGAGUAGAUAUUUUAAUUUUAUUUAAAUUAUGGUUUUCUUGUGGCUUUUUAUUUUGUAUAUAAAAUAGAGUAAAAAACUGCAGCAAGGUACGGAUAUUUAUUACUAGGUUAAACUUUAAUUAAUCUAUAUGCCAAGAUAUAAUUGUCAAACAACGUUUUCCAACGGUUUGUUUUGUUGUCGAACUACCAUUAAGGUUAAAUUUAGUGUUUGUUAAGAUUUCACGCUUAUUUAAUAUGUAAACACCCACAACUCAUUAUCAUUGAGUAAACUCAUAUUUUGUGCUUGAGAUCAACCAAUAAAUUAUAAGGUUUCUGCAAAAAGAUUAUUCUUCCAGCAACCACUGAGUUGAUUCAUACCGUCCUACCACUGAGAACUGUGUCAAUGUAUAGGGGGUUGCAUUUUGAGCAAAAUUGUGGGAGGUAGGAAUGUGUGAUAUGAAAGAUGAUGUAAUGGUUAGGUUUGAUAUACAUGAAUUGAGUUAAGGUAUGUUGUACCAUUUUCAUAUAAGUACUACAAUAAUGGAAAAAGAAUAGGUCAUCUUGUGGGCAUGAUAGGGGACCAUGAGUUGGUUACAUUGGUACCUCAAUCCAUUCAAUGGUACGCUACCUAAAUGAUUUGUUUGCAGCGGAUGAAUUUGAGAUUCCAUUCCAUGAAUGGAGGGAAUUCAAUUCCAUGUGUUAGGAGUUAGGACAAACAAAUGGAAAGACUAAGAGUUGUCAUGAGUGUUGGUUAGGUCAGAUUAAGACUAAUCCUUCAUCAUUAAUUGUGGCCGAAUUUAGACAUUGAAUACUUAUGUUAACUAUCUACAUGUGCACUUCCUGAAAAGGAGGAACACCAGCUAACGAUUCAUUAUGCUCAAAAUAAUAAUGUUGUACAAAUUAUCUAGAGGACAACUAUGUUCCAUUUAUGAGUUAUGACCUACCUUUUAGCUAGAUAGUUGUAUAAUUUAAAACAACAAAAGUUUUUUUUUUUUAAUAGAGGCGUUUGAAAAAGUAAAAAAUAUAAGUUGUAAUGACAUCAUCAAUACAGUAGUUUUGUUGAUUUGAGAAAUGGUAUAGAGUGGGAUUAGUGGGUGUAUGAAAAAAAGACUUGGGUGGUGUUUAUUUUAUUUAUUGUUUUUUUGGAAAGCAAACCAUCUAAUGAAGGUUUCAGGGCAUGUUUUAGUGUAUCGACUAAUCAUCCGCUGCAAACAUGAGGUAAUAUUUCAUGUAUGGGAGUCACUGCAAUUGAACCUCCAUGACCACAAAGGCUGAGUGGUGUUACGAUUUAAACAUGAGUCAGUAGAUUAUUCAACAUAUUUUCCAUAUGUCUUACUAAGUCACCACAACACAAGUGGUUAAUGUUUAUUUUGAAAAAGAUAAAAUGUCUUUGGGUUUUUUUCAUGUAUUCAUAAAAAAUAUUGUUUGUUUUUUAAAAUCCCCAAAAAGAUUAGAAUUUGGUGGAUUUGUGUUAGUCGUUAAAAUAAAAGGUCAAACUCUUAAAACCUAUUCAAAAUAACUUUUGAAAUACAAGUUUUUUUUUUAUUUAAAAAAAAGUUUUAAACUCGUAAUCAUGAACAAUUUUCUUUAAUACAUGUUAAAAAAGACUAAAAACUUAUAAAAUAUUUCAAAAUUUUGUUUUGAACAUACCAUUCUCUCUCUCUUCAUAUAUUUUAUCGGUUGGUUCUCAAUUUCUUGCAAUGUUAUCCAUUAAUCGUUUUUGAUAAUUCAGAAAAUGACACAUAUUUACCAUUUUAAGUUGUACAUAUAUAUAAAAGUUCUAAAAGUCAUCUAAUUUAUUAAGAUUUUAAAAUAUGUUGUCGACUUUUUGUUCGUGUGAAGCCCAUGUCAAACUGAUUAUUCUAUUUUGGCUGGCUACUUAUGAAUCAAAUAUUGAAUGUACACAGGAACAAAUAGGUAAUCAUGAUCAUCUAAUGGUUAGUGCUCUUUUGCAUUUACUUUUUGAUGGAUGAUAAUUGUUGUUAUUAAUAGAGGGAGGACAUUAAGUUCUAGUUGUAAAUGAUGGGUGAUUAGUGAUAUUGUAGGAUGUAGAUAUGCAUUCAUGGAUAGUAGUUAGGUAUUAAUUCUUGCUUUUAUUUCGUAAUUGACAUUUUAAUUUAAAAAUGAAUUUUGACUUAAAUGACCAUUAAAUUCGCGAUUUUGACUCGAUUCAGUCACUAAAGUUCUGAUCACGCUGAAUCAGACACUAAACUCUUGAUUUUUGUUCGAUUAACCCCUUACGGUGUGACAUCUUUAAUUUUAUAGUCCGAAAAGACAUUUUUUUUAUACUUAUUUAAAAUAUGGUAUUCUUUUAUUUAUGCGGAUUUUGUCCCAUAAUAGUUAUAAUGUGAGAUAAAAGCAUUUCCGAAAAACGUUUUUCAUUAAUAAUUAAAACAUUGGGAUGUCAUAACCGAUACAUAAACAUAAACUAGUCAUUACAGACCUUACAACAUUUUAUUUUACUAACGAACUUAAACUCCUUAAAUCUCUCAACAGAUUCAAAACAUCACUAUCUCUGAACCUUUGUACCACUAUUUGUGAUACAAAGAAACUGAGUGGCUCGGCCUGGAAAGUCUGAUGAGUAUAUAGGGUUUUCAACACACAAUAAUUAAAAUUUUUAAUUAUGUAUUUCACAUCAAACAUUUACCCGAUUACCCAUUUCCAUCAUUUUCACUCUCUGAUCCUAAAAUGAUGAUCUCAAGGGACUUAUCCUAAAGGAUCACUAUAAGCAACGGGUAGACAAUACCACCUUGGGGACUCCUUAGCAGUAUGUGUCGAUAAGGCAAUCAUGAGGGAGGAUAGAGUAUCUGAACGAACGCACGGUUCAUUAACACCUACAGGUUGUGAGUCUGUCAGUGUUCCACAAGACUGUCUAGAAUAAUCAGUGGUUGUCAUCUAUACUCUCGUAGAUGGAUGGUCGCAGUGGUACAAUAGUGCAGUGGUCACAGUCUCACACAACCCUUCACUACCCGAUAUAAUUGAAAGUAUAAUAAAUAUAAGGUUUAAUCAUAUCAUAUUGCUUUAUCUAACACAUAUACAAAUAAAGAGCACAUAUAAGAUUUAAGCAUUUAAAAUACUUGGAUUUAUGUGUAAGUUGAAAAUAACUAUGCACUCACCGGUUAGAAGUGGAUUGACUUGUGAUUAGAUCAACGCUUCGCGUAACACCUUAGCUUUUUCUUUCAAAAUACCUAGUUAUAAAUAUCACCAAGUCUUGGUCUUUGUCACAUAUUUAUCGUGACUAUAAUAACAAUAGUCUUGUAACGCCUCAAAUUUCAACCCAAUUUUUUCGAUUAAGACUUUAAGUAUUUAUUUAAUUCACAACUGCAAGAUCUUAAAACAUUUAUCAGAGUAUCAUUAAAAGUUAUCAAGUACACAAGUCCCUUAUUGAUGCGAUGAAUCGAGCCGUAUCCAUCCUUUAAUAUAAUAAAACUUGAAACAUGUAAACCACAAAUCGUAAGCACAAAGCUUAGUGAGUUCCCCAAAAUAUCACACACAACACAUCACAAAUAAACAGUUAUGGGUUAUCAACAACCCUGGGGACUAUCGGCAGUCCUAGUGGGCUAACAGUACUCCCGGUGGGUUAUCAGCAAUCAUGGGGACUAUCAGCAGUCUCAGUCACACCUAAACAACAUAACACAAUAAUAACAGCUAGACCUAGUUGGUUGCCACAUAUACAACUAUUCUACCAUGCAGGCUCAUACAAACAUGCAAGAGUCACAAAGACAACUAGCAUCCUGCAUACACAAUUUAGUGACUCGACAUUGGUGCCUUCGAAUCACAAGCACUGGGAGAAGACUCACCUCGCACUGUCGAAUCUCACAGAAAGAAUCUCUGGCCAUUGGCCCGCUAAAAUCACCGCGCUAUCAAUCAAAAAAUAAUCAUCCAAUCAAUAAUCGGAUCCCGAUCCACACUAAGUGUCCAAACUAGGGUAAAAGACCUUUUUAUCCUUUCCAUAACUUGGCCCAAGGCCAAGGCCCAAUCCAACAAUCUAAAGGCCCAAAUUCCAAAUAAACACCUAAGGCCCAAAUUUCCAAAUUGAUCCUAAUCUCUUUCAUGGGCCUUCUCCCAAGAAAGUCCAACAAAAUCUCAAUAGCCCAACCAUGGAAUUCUAAUGGCCCAACAUGGCCCCAAACAACCAAACGCACCCUAGCGCAAAACAACGAAACCCAACGUGCUGAGUACGCGGGGCGUACUCAGCUUGUACGCGCAGCGUACUGCUAGAAGGGCUUAUACGCGCAACGUACUGGCUUGUAUGCCUCGCAUACUCACCAACUUUAUCCAACUUUACAAUUUAGUUCUUAAUCGAUUAAGACCACGACCCAAGCUCAGAUUUGACUUCCUUAAAGGUGGUUAAUCACAUAAAGUUGCCAACUUUAUGUGCAUGCAUGGCUUAAUGGAGCUCUAGAGCUCAAAAGAUCUUAAUAACUGACUUAAUACAUCUUUGAGACUAAAACCACCAUAACGUUUGCACCUUUAUGCUUAUAAAACCCUUAACAUGACCAGAUCUAUAAGGAUAAGCUCCAAAAACGACCUUAGCUCAAAACCACCAACCAAAGGGACUUAAAAGACCCAAAACAAGCCAAAUAAUACAUCUAAUAAAUGAGAUGACAAGCGUUGAACUUUAUACCUCACAAGCCACGAAAUGAAGGUGUUAAAGCUGGAUCUCAAGGCCCUCCUCUAAAGAAUGAGUCUUCAAGCUUCUUCUUCCCCUUCUAGAUGCACAAAAUCCCCCCACAAAAGCCUCACAAGAGCUCAAGAGCACCACAUAAUGGCUCCCAUGAAGGCAUAUAAUUACAGAAUUGCUCCCAUGAAUAGCAGUGACAUGUGGCCAGAGACAAACUAUACUCCACAAUUGCCUCCUAUUAACAGAAGGAUGUCUGGUAGGCCAGCUACUAAGAGGAAGAACUCCACUACAGAGAAUAUAGGAACACACAUGGUUUCUAAGGCUAGAAAGAAAAUCAGAUGUAGUAUUUGCAAGGAGAUAUGUCACAACAAGGCCACUUGUCCACAAAGAAGGCCCCAAAAGUUAAAUGUGAAGAAAUAGAAGAAACAAAAAGUUUGUGUGAAGAAAAAUGCAGGACAGGGUAGUACAAGUGAACCACAACAACAUGAAGAGGUUGAAAUGACUCCUAUUGAGAUGGAUACUACUCAAAAUGAUAUGCAAGUUACUCCUACUAAUGUUGAAUCUAGUAGUGCAGGGGAUUUUAGUCAUUAUAUGCAAUUUACUCCACCUAGAAGUUAUGAAGGCGAUGAGGGUGUUGUGGGUGAGGAAGCUGAUGUGGUUGAGGAAGCUGUUGUGGUUGAGGAAGCUGUUCAAGAUGAGGAGGUUGAGGAGGUUGAUGUUGUUAUCCAAGUUGAUAAUGUUAAUGUUCAGGAGGUUGAUGAGGUUAAUCCUAAUGCUUAAGUUGAUAAUGUUAAUGUUCAGGAGGUUGCUCCUGUUAUCCAAGUUCAGCAGGUAAGUGUUAGGCCAAUUUCAGAGAUUUUGAAAAGGAUAAGGAGAAGAAAGUCAGAGAGAAUAUUGAAGCGGAAAUUAGGCAAAACAAUUGGUGGUGUUGAUGAUCCAGGAAAUUCGAAGGGAAAAUCUCUUGUAAUUGAUUAGUGUUUAUUGUAAUUUGGAUUUAAAGUUUAUGUAAUAGGAUGAUGGUAAUUUGGAUUUAAAGUUUAUGUAAUAGGAUGAUGGUAAUUUAUAUUUAAAGUUUAUGAAAUAGGAUGAAAGUAUUUUGAAUGUU
Non-coding RNA from Lactuca sativa (garden lettuce), 6120 nucleotides. NCBI's taxonomy places the organism in Eukaryota, Viridiplantae, Streptophyta, Magnoliopsida, Asterales, Asteraceae. The record is from RefSeq and is a predicted model, not a curated record.